CUUCCUACAGAACUUCUGGAACUGAUCUUCUGCCGUUUAACUCUAGAGGAUAACAUUCAUGCCUCUGUUGUAUGCAAGAGAUGGCACACAGCUGCCAUUUCUGUCAGAGUGGUGAACCAAUCACCCUGGCUUAUGUAUUUUCCAAGAUGUGGGAAUUUUUAUGAGCUCUAUGACCCAGCACAGCGCAAGACCUAUUCCCUUGAGUUACCAGAGUUGUAUGGGUCAAGAGUUUGUUACACUAAAGAUGGUUGGUUGUUGCUUUUCAGACCCAGAACACACCGUGUUUUCUUCUUUAAUCCAUUUACUAAGCAAGUGAUCAAACUGCCAAGAUUUGAAUUG
RNAcentral lists this unclassified non-coding RNA (339 nucleotides) under Hevea brasiliensis (rubber tree). The record is from RNAcentral. Lineage: Eukaryota; Viridiplantae; Streptophyta; Magnoliopsida; Malpighiales; Euphorbiaceae.